Loxodonta africana (African savanna elephant) is the source of this 453-nucleotide long non-coding RNA. RefSeq lists it as uncharacterized. The transcript is spliced from 4 exons. Lineage: Eukaryota; Metazoa; Chordata; Mammalia; Proboscidea; Elephantidae. The record is from RefSeq and is a predicted model, not a curated record.
CUAAGAUGUCUUUUUUAUUUGAAACUUCCUGACAACACCUGAGAAUUUGCGCAAAUGAACAGAGGCGACCAUGCCACAAACACCACCUGGUGGCCAAUAUCAACUAACCGAAGGAAGACCGGGGAGCAUGAUUCAAAUUAAUCAUGCUAAGGUUCUAAAAAUUAUUGAAAUGUUAUGAUUCACUUGGAGAGCGUCAUCAAACGAGAAGAAUGCCUCACAAGAUUUGGGGACUUCAAGAAAAGUGGAACUAAUUCAAAUCUGUUGGUACUACAGCUCUACGUUGUCACCGGUGCUAUCGUGUGGGACCUGAUGGGAGUUGUGAACAUCAGAGAACCAUCUGCAAUGCCAAGCAAGAUGAGGAAUGCCUGGUGAAGAAGUACUAUAGUGGUGACAAGUUCUUCCGUGGAUACCAGGACUGUCGGGAAACCUGCACCAACAUGACCUCAGUCCAAG